Molecule: ribosomal RNA, 482 nt
Filed under: Fusarium sp. NRRL 25726
Lineage: Eukaryota; Fungi; Ascomycota; Sordariomycetes; Hypocreales; Nectriaceae
Also listed under: 3 other names
Description: eukaryotic LSU rRNA
Rfam family: Eukaryotic large subunit ribosomal RNA
Source: RNAcentral
CAACAGGGAUUGCCCCAGUAACGGCGAGUGAAGCGGCAACAGCUCAAAUUUGAAAUCUGGCUCUCGGGCCCGAGUUGUAAUUUGUAGAGGAUGCUUUUGGUGAGGUGCCUUCCGAGUUCCCUGGAACGGGACGCCAUAGAGGGUGAGAGCCCCGUCUGGUUGGACACCGAACCUCUGUAAAGCUCCUUCGACGAGUCGAGUAGUUUGGGAAUGCUGCUCUAAAUGGGAGGUAUAUGUCUUCUAAAGCUAAAUACCGGCCAGAGACCGAUAGCGCACAAGUAGAGUGAUCGAAAGAUGAAAAGAACUUUGAAAAGAGAGUUAAACAGUACGUGAAAUUGUUGAAAGGGAAGCGCUUGUGACCAGACUUGGGCUUGGUUGAUCAUCCGGGGUUCUCCCCGGUGCACUCUUCCGGCCCAGGCCAGCAUCAGUUCGCCCUGGGGGACAAAGGCAUCGGGAACGUGGCUCUCUCCGGGGAGUGUUAU